This 72-nucleotide transfer RNA is filed under the name Camelus bactrianus (Bactrian camel). It matches the Rfam family "tRNA". From Rfam's summary of the family: Transfer RNA (tRNA) molecules are approximately 80 nucleotides in length. Their secondary structure includes four short double-helical elements and three loops (D, anti-codon, and T loops). Further hydrogen bonds mediate the characteristic L-shaped molecular structure. tRNAs have two regions of fundamental functional importance: the anti-codon, which is responsible for specific mRNA codon recognition, and the 3' end, to which the tRNAs corresponding amino acid is attached (by aminoacyl-tRNA synthetases). tRNAs cope with the degeneracy of the genetic code in two manners: having more than one tRNA (with a specific anti-codon) for a particular amino acid; and 'wobble' base-pairing, i.e. permitting non-standard base-pairing at the 3rd anti-codon position. Lineage: Eukaryota; Metazoa; Chordata; Mammalia; Artiodactyla; Camelidae. RNAcentral also lists the same sequence under 2 other names. The record is from Rfam by way of RNAcentral.
GAGGGUAUAGCUCAUUGGUAAGGUAUGUGCUUAGCAUGCACAAGGUCCUGGGUUCAAUCUCUAGUAACUUCC